This 405-nucleotide ribosomal RNA is filed under the name uncultured bacterium. Its description in RNAcentral is "bacterial SSU rRNA". It matches the Rfam family "Bacterial small subunit ribosomal RNA", at positions 355 to 776 of the family's 1533-position model. The record is from RNAcentral.
UAGGGAAUUUUCCACAAUGGGCGAAAGCCUGAUGGAGCAACACCGCGUGCAGGAUGAAGGCUUUCGGGUCGUAAACUGCUUUUAUUUGUGACGAAUCUGACUGUAGCAAAUGAAUAAGGAUCGGCUAACUACGUGCCAGCAGCCGCGGUCAUACGUAGGAUCCAAGCAUUAUCCGGAAUUACUGGGCGUAAAGAGUUGCGUAGGUGGCAUUGUAAGCAGGGCAUGAAAUCGUGUGGCUCAACCAUACGGCUAUGUUCUGAACUGCAAAGCUAGAGAGCGAGAGGGGUAGAUGGAAUUACUAGUGUAGGAGUGAAAUCCGUAGAUAUUAGUAGGAACACCGAUAGCGUAGGCAGUCUACUGGCUCGUCUCUGACACUCAGGCACGAAAGCGUGGGGAGCGAACAGG